This is a small nuclear RNA of Octodon degus (degu), 106 nucleotides long. The record is from Ensembl. NCBI's taxonomy places the organism in Eukaryota, Metazoa, Chordata, Mammalia, Rodentia, Octodontidae.
GUGCUCACUUCGGCAGCACAGAUACUGAAACUAAACUCUGCAGAGAAGAUUAGCAUGGUCCCUGCGCAAAGAUGACAAUCAAAUUCAUGAAGCGUGCCUUAUUUUA